AGGGGAGUAACCAAGCGGUUAAGGUGCCGGAUUUUGAUUCCGGUAAUCAUAGGUUCAAAUCCUAUCUUCCUUU
RNAcentral lists this transfer RNA (73 nucleotides) under Candidatus Vidania fulgoroideorum. Its description in RNAcentral is "beta proteobacterium endosymbiont of Hyalesthes obsoletus HO1-V tRNA". It matches the Rfam family "tRNA". Rfam says of the family: Transfer RNA (tRNA) molecules are approximately 80 nucleotides in length. Lineage: Bacteria; Pseudomonadati; Pseudomonadota; Betaproteobacteria. The record is from Rfam by way of RNAcentral.